UACGUAGGGUGCGAGCGUUAAUCGGAAUUACUGGGCGUAAAGCGUGCGCAGGCGGUUUUUUAAGGCAGAUGUGAAAUCCCCGGGCUUAACCUGGGAAUGGCAUUUGGGACUGCAAGGCUGGAGUGCGGCAGAGGAGACUGGAAUUCCUGGUGUAGCAGUGAAAUGCGUAGAUAUCAGGAGGAAUACCGAUGGCGAAGGCAGGUCUCUGGGCUGACACUGACGCUCAUGCACGAAAGCGUGGGGAGCAAACAGG
This 253-nucleotide ribosomal RNA is filed under the name uncultured bacterium. Its description in RNAcentral is "partial 16S ribosomal RNA". It matches the Rfam family "Bacterial small subunit ribosomal RNA", at positions 524 to 776 of the family's 1533-position model. The record is from RNAcentral.